AUCCAGCUGACGAGUUCAACGUAGGACUAAACGCGCGUCCUGGAC
RNAcentral lists this non-coding RNA (45 nucleotides) under Schistosoma margrebowiei. The record is from RNAcentral. Lineage: Eukaryota; Metazoa; Platyhelminthes; Trematoda; Strigeidida; Schistosomatidae.